CUGGAGAUGACAAGGAAACCACUGGAGGUGACAUGGACCUCCUGGAGGUGACAAGGUCCUCCUGGAGGUGACAAGGUCCUCCUGGAGUUGACAAGGAACCCAUUGGAAGUGACAUGGACCUCCUGGAGGUGACAAGGUCCUCCUGGAGGUGACAUGGACCUCCUGGAGGUGACAGGGACCUCCUGGAGGUGACAAAGAACCC
Molecule: long non-coding RNA, 202 nt
Filed under: Numida meleagris (helmeted guineafowl)
Lineage: Eukaryota; Metazoa; Chordata; Aves; Galliformes; Numididae
Description: lncRNA (ENSNMEG00000002515.1)
Source: RNAcentral